RNA transcript from Eucalyptus grandis, 1195 nucleotides. It is a transcript of the gene named class V chitinase, with no coding region annotated. The transcript has 3 exons. The record is from RefSeq and is a predicted model, not a curated record. Lineage: Eukaryota; Viridiplantae; Streptophyta; Magnoliopsida; Myrtales; Myrtaceae.
UCUGUCUCUACUCCAAAUCAACUCACGCAUGGCCCAAAACGUCAAAGGAGGCUAUUGGCUCCCGGACAGCGGCAUCACAGCCUCCAACAUCGAUUCGACCCUCUUCACUCAUCUCUUCUGCGCGUUCGCUGACCUCGAUGCAUCGACAAACCAGGUAGUCAUAUCGUUGACGAACGCCCAGUCUUUCGCGGCCUUCACUAGUGACGUCCGGCAGAAGAACCCAUCGGUCAUAACCCUCCUGUCCAUCGGCGGUGGCAGCUCGAGUGCGACUGACUUUGCGGCCAUGGCGAGCCAGUCUAGCUCCCGAAAGAGUUUCAUCGAUUCCUCCAUAGCCCUAGCUCGGUCCAACGGCUUUCAUGGCCUUGAUCUUGAUUGGGAAUACCCGGACACUGAUGAGAAGAUGAACAACUUGGGGUUGCUCCUCCAGGAGUGGCGGACCAUGGUGGCUGCUGAGGCGGCCAGGUCAGGUGACAAUGCUCUGCUUUUGUCGGCGGCAGUCUAUUACUUGCCGCACCACUGGUCAGGUGUGGAUUAUCCGUGGCCGCCAUGGCGGCGAGCUUGGAUUGAUCAAUGCAAUGGCCUAUGAUUUCUUUGGACCAGGUUGGUCCUCCACCACAGGACCACAUGCUGCUCUCUAUGCUCCAGGGAACGGCAGAAGUGGAGACAUCGGGGUGAGAGCAUGGAUUCAGGCCGGCAUGCCGGCGGGGCAGAUCGUGCUCGGCUUCCCUUCUAUGGGCGCGCAUUCACCUCGCAAAUGCCAACAACCACGGCUACUCUGCGCCCGUCACUGGGGCAGCAAUAUCCUCCGAUGGGUCGAUCGUGUACAAUCAAAUCACGACGUACAUAUCCGAAAACAGCGCAACCAAUGUGUACAACUCCCCGGUCGUGUCCGCCUACUGCUAUUCCGGGACGACAUGGAUCAGCUACGAUGAUACACAAACCAUCUCUACCAAAGUCUUGUACGCCAAGGAUAAUGGACUCAAAGGUUACUUUGCAUGGCAUGUUGCUAGUGAUGACAACUGGGUUCUCUCUCAAACAGCUUCAAAUGCGUGGUGACUUAGACGACGUCAGAGGAGACAUUAUCUACAGAUACUUAUUGAAGUUCAGACCAAAAAUGUAAUGGAAUUAUAGUCUCCAUCUCACAAUGUCAUGUAUUCCUUAGAGGCCAAUAAAGCAAAGAUGCUUUUCUUUUUCC